Molecule: small RNA, 65 nt
Filed under: Streptococcus sp. DD12
Lineage: Bacteria; Bacillati; Bacillota; Bacilli; Lactobacillales; Streptococcaceae
Description: Streptococcus sRNA Spd-sr37
Rfam family: Streptococcus sRNA Spd-sr37
Source: Rfam by way of RNAcentral
CAAUGAAAUGAUGGUCAAAGCUCAUGGAAAUUGUAGGUCUUUUUGGCUUGCAUUUUCAAGAGAUU